UCAGAUCUGUUGUCUCCUUCUAUAGCCUGCUCUCAGAUCUGUUGUCUCCUUCUAUAGCCUGCCCUCAGAUGUUGUCUCCUUCUAUAGCCUGCUCUCAGAUCUGUUGUCUCCUUCUAUAGCCUACUCUCAGAUCUGUUGUUUCCUUCUAUAGCCUGCUCUCAGAUCUGUUGUCUCCUUCUAUAGCCUGCUCUCAGAUCUGUUGUCUCCUUCUAUAGCCUGCUCUCAGAUCUGUUGUCUCCUUCUAUAGCCUGCUCUCAGAUCUGUUGUCUCCUUCUAUAGCCUGCUCUCAGAUCUGUUGUCUCCUUCUAUAGCCUGCUCUCAGAUCUGUUGUCUCCUUCUAUAACCUGCUCUCAGAUCUGUUGUAAUCAAAGGGUCGUUCUACUAAUUCGGUGCCUUUUGAAAACGUUUUGACUUCACCUCAUCUCAACAUUCUGUCAUAAAGAGGACAUGUUGAACUUCAUUAAGUUUCCCCAUCGCAACAUUCUGUCAUAAAGAGGACAUGUUGAACUUCAUUAAGUUUCCCCAUCGCAACAUUCUAUCAUAAAGAGGACAUGUUGAACUUCAUUAAGUUUCCCCAUCGCAACAUUCUGUCAUAAAGAGGACAUGUUGAACUUCAUUAAGUUUCCCCAUCGCAACAGGUUAAAGACGGAAAUUACUAUAGCAAGUGCCAAAUAAUGUAACGGGGUUGACCGUAAUGGGGUUGACCGUAACGGGGUGGGGUUGACCCUAACCGGUGUUGACCCUAACCGGGGUUGACCGUGCCCGGGGUUGACCGUAACGGGGUGGGGUUGACCCUAAUCAGGGUUGACCGUAACCGGGGUUGACCGUAACCGGGGUUGACCGUAACGGGGUGGGGUUGACCCUAAUCGGGUUGACCGUAACGGGGUGGGUUGACCGUAACCGGGGUUGACCGUAACGGGGUGGGGUUGACCGUAACCGGGGUUGACCGUAACCGGGGUUGACCGUAACCGGGGUUGACCGUAACGGGGUUGACGAUGUCAUCUUAAAUCAGCCAUGAAUCCCCUUGUGACAGAGGGAAUGGAAGCUCGUUACUGUGCAACAGGCUUCCCAAAACAUUUUAACUGUUAAAACAUUUUUAGACUGUCUGUCUGUUGGUAACAGGGUUGACUUGUUGACGCUCGACCCGCUCAGUUUUACUCCACAAAACACCAGAAAAUGGCCAGAAAGAAUAGAACCAGCUCACCUGUUUUGACAUUAUGAUUUGACCACUAGAUGUUCAAUGUUUCUUUGGGAAUAAAUAUUUAAAAUGGGAAUAUUUUCACUGUGAUUUAAAAUGAGAGUUCAAAUCACUUACCAGGGUUGACCUUAAAACUGAGGGACUGGAUCACUAAUCACAAUAAAAUAACUAGGGCUUUACAAUGAUGGAGAAAUGUUGGGAUGAAGGGGGUUUAAUCUUCUUAGAAGUCGGAGAGGGUGCACGGAGGGACAUUUCAAAAUGCCGAAGUCUAUUUCUAUUAAAUCAGAUUUAUUGAAUUCUCCAUGUGGUCUAUAUUAAAUGGCACUAAAUUUAAUAUAACAGGCUUUUUAAAAUUCAAUAUUGGUGCUCAAUUUAUAUCUAAAAUAUCAAAGGGAACGUAAAAGGCCCUCAUUUUGUGGAAUGACCCAAAAACAGUGGAGACUCUUGGAUACACUCCUCUGGAAGUACCGCAUAAAUGUAACUGUCUGAAGCUUGUGCAGUGGGUCAUCUUUUAUGUGUCUCGAUCUGUCCAUCUUUGCGUUAUGGUCAUUGUAUAGCAGGAAAGAUAUGACUGUACAUUUCCAUUUAUGAUGUGUGUAAAUGUUUUCCAUACUCAAUAAAAUAAUCAAUGUUCUUCAAAGUUGUAA
Long non-coding RNA from Oncorhynchus kisutch (coho salmon), 1845 nucleotides. RefSeq lists it as uncharacterized. Lineage: Eukaryota; Metazoa; Chordata; Actinopteri; Salmoniformes; Salmonidae. The record is from RefSeq and is a predicted model, not a curated record. The transcript has 2 exons.